RNAcentral lists this ribosomal RNA (437 nucleotides) under uncultured Prevotella sp. RNAcentral's name for it is "bacterial SSU rRNA". It matches the Rfam family "Bacterial small subunit ribosomal RNA", at positions 341 to 792 of the family's 1533-position model. Lineage: Bacteria; Pseudomonadati; Bacteroidota; Bacteroidia; Bacteroidales; Prevotellaceae. The record is from RNAcentral.
ACGGGAGGCAGCAGUGGGGAAUAUUGGGCAAUGGGCGAAAGCCUGACCCAGCAACGCCGCGUGAAGGAAGAAGGUCUUCGGAUUGUAAACUUCUUUUAUGAGGGACGAAGGACGUGACGGUACCUCAUGAAUAAGCCACGGCUAACUCCGUGCCAGCAGCCGCGGUAAUACGGAGGAUCCGAGCGUUAUCCGGAUUUAUUGGGUUUAAAGGGUGCGUAGGCGGCAUCUCAAGUCUGUGGUGAAAUGUCAGGGCUCAACCUUGGCACUGCCAUGGAAACUGGGGGGCUAGAGUGCGUUUGGGGUGCAUGGAAUGUGUGGUGUAGCGGUGAAAUGCAUAGAUAUCACACAGAACGCCGAUCGCGAAGGCAGUGCACCAAGCCGCGACUGACGCUGAGGCACGAAAGUGCGGGGAUCGAACAGGAUUAGAUACCCUGGUA